RNAcentral lists this ribosomal RNA (2512 nucleotides) under human gut metagenome. RNAcentral describes it as "bacterial LSU rRNA". It matches the Rfam family "Bacterial large subunit ribosomal RNA", at positions 1 to 2541 of the family's 2925-position model. The record is from RNAcentral.
UUAAGCGACUAAGCGUACACGGUGGAUGCCCUGGCAGUCAGAGGCGAUGAAGGACGUGCUAAUCUGCGAUAAGCGUCGGUAAGGUGAUAUGAACCGUUAUAACCGGCGAUUUCCGAAUGGGGAAACCCAGUGUGAUUCGUCACACUAUCAUUAACUGAAUCCAUAGGUUAAUGAGGCGAACCGGGGGAACUGAAACAUCUAAGUACCCCGAGGAAAAGAAAUCAACCGAGAUUCCCCCAGUAGCGGCGAGCGAACGGGGAGCAGCCCAGAGCCUGAAUCAGUGUGUGUGUUAGUGGAAGCGUCUGGAAAGGCGCGCGAUACAGGGUGACAGCCCCGUACACAAAAAUGCACAUGCUGUGAGCUCGAUGAGUAGGGCGGGACACGUGGUAUCCUGUCUGAAUAUGGGGGGACCAUCCUCCAAGGCUAAAUACUCCUGACUGACCGAUAGUGAACCAGUACCGUGAGGGAAAGGCGAAAAGAACCCCGGCGAGGGGAGUGAAAAAGAACCUGAAACCGUGUACGUACAAGCAGUGGGAGCACGCUUAGGCGUGUGACUGCGUACCUUUUGUAUAAUGGGUCAGCGACUUAUAUUCUGUAGCAAGGUUAACCGAAUAGGGGAGCCGAAGGGAAACCGAGUCUUAACUGGGCGUUAAGUUGCAGGGUAUAGACCCGAAACCCGGUGAUCUAGCCAUGGGCAGGUUGAAGGUUGGGUAACACUAACUGGAGGACCGAACCGACUAAUGUUGAAAAAUUAGCGGAUGACUUGUGGCUGGGGGUGAAAGGCCAAUCAAACCGGGAGAUAGCUGGUUCUCCCCGAAAGCUAUUUAGGUAGCGCCUCGUGAAUUCAUCUCCGGGGGUAGAGCACUGUUUCGGCAAGGGGGUCAUCCCGACUUACCAACCCGAUGCAAACUGCGAAUACCGGAGAAUGUUAUCACGGGAGACACACGGCGGGUGCUAACGUCCGUCGUGAAGAGGGAAACAACCCAGACCGCCAGCUAAGGUCCCAAAGUCAUGGUUAAGUGGGAAACGAUGUGGGAAGGCCCAGACAGCCAGGAUGUUGGCUUAGAAGCAGCCAUCAUUUAAAGAAAGCGUAAUAGCUCACUGGUCGAGUCGGCCUGCGCGGAAGAUGUAACGGGGCUAAACCAUGCACCGAAGCUGCGGCAGCGACACUAUGUGUUGUUGGGUAGGGGAGCGUUCUGUAAGCCUGCGAAGGUGUGCUGUGAGGCAUGCUGGAGGUAUCAGAAGUGCGAAUGCUGACAUAAGUAACGAUAAAGCGGGUGAAAAGCCCGCUCGCCGGAAGACCAAGGGUUCCUGUCCAACGUUAAUCGGGGCAGGGUGAGUCGACCCCUAAGGCGAGGCCGAAAGGCGUAGUCGAUGGGAAACAGGUUAAUAUUCCUGUACUUGGUGUUACUGCGAAGGGGGGACGGAGAAGGCUAUGUUGGCCGGGCGACGGUUGUCCCGGUUUAAGCGUGUAGGCUGGUUUUCCAGGCAAAUCCGGAAAAUCAAGGCUGAGGCGUGAUGACGAGGCACUACGGUGCUGAAGCAACAAAUGCCCUGCUUCCAGGAAAAGCCUCUAAGCAUCAGGUAACAUCAAAUCGUACCCCAAACCGACACAGGUGGUCAGGUAGAGAAUACCAAGGCGCUUGAGAGAACUCGGGUGAAGGAACUAGGCAAAAUGGUGCCGUAACUUCGGGAGAAGGCACGCUGAUAUGUAGGUGAAGUCCCUCGCGGAUGGAGCUGAAAUCAGUCGAAGAUACCAGCUGGCUGCAACUGUUUAUUAAAAACACAGCACUGUGCAAACACGAAAGUGGACGUAUACGGUGUGACGCCUGCCCGGUGCCGGAAGGUUAAUUGAUGGGGUCAGCGCAAGCGAAGCUCUUGAUCGAAGCCCCGGUAAACGGCGGCCGUAACUAUAACGGUCCUAAGGUAGCGAAAUUCCUUGUCGGGUAAGUUCCGACCUGCACGAAUGGCGUAAUGAUGGCCAGGCUGUCUCCACCCGAGACUCAGUGAAAUUGAACUCGCUGUGAAGAUGCAGUGUACCCGCGGCAAGACGGAAAGACCCCGUGAACCUUUACUAUAGCUUGACACUGAACAUUGAGCCUUGAUGUGUAGGAUAGGUGGGAGGCUUUGAAGUGUGGACGCCAGUCUGCAUGGAGCCGACCUUGAAAUACCACCCUUUAAUGUUUGAUGUUCUAACGUUGACCCGUAAUCCGGGUUGCGGACAGUGUCUGGUGGGUAGUUUGACUGGGGCGGUCUCCUCCUAAAGAGUAACGGAGGAGCACGAAGGUUGGCUAAUCCUGGUCGGACAUCAGGAGGUUAGUGCAAUGGCAUAAGCCAGCUUGACUGCGAGCGUGACGGCGCGAGCAGGUGCGAAAGCAGGUCAUAGUGAUCCGGUGGUUCUGAAUGGAAGGGCCAUCGCUCAACGGAUAAAAGGUACUCCGGGGAUAACAGGCUGAUACCGCCCAAGAGUUCAUAUCGACGGCGGUGUUUGGCACCUCGAUGUCGGCUCAUC